RNAcentral lists this long non-coding RNA (351 nucleotides) under Phoenix dactylifera (date palm). RNAcentral's name for it is "long non-coding RNA (PDAC_LNC020552)". Lineage: Eukaryota; Viridiplantae; Streptophyta; Magnoliopsida; Arecales; Arecaceae. The record is from RNAcentral.
GAGGGGGGACAAAAAUGGGAGGAAAAACCCGAAGCCGGAGAGAACCCUCCUAGACCGGGUGGAAAGAAGUAAACAACACAGACAAUUGAGGAAACUGAUCCUCUUGAUUUUAUCCAAAUAUUCUCUCUGUCUUCUCCACAUACUCUCUUCCCCGCUCUCUCCACAUAUUUGCCCCCUCUGACUUAAGCAUCGGAGGGCCGGCGCCGGGGAGCCCGGCCACCGGUCUUCCUGCAGGACUCGCACCCCACAGUGGAGGACGCGACCAGCCGGCGCACAGUCGGCCACCCUCCCAGCGGCGGAGCUCUGCCCCUCCAGGAGGACGCCACCAGCCGGCGCACCGUCGACCACCCU